RNAcentral lists this long non-coding RNA (208 nucleotides) under Hordeum vulgare. RNAcentral describes it as "long non-coding RNA (HVUL_LNC002520)". The record is from RNAcentral. Lineage: Eukaryota; Viridiplantae; Streptophyta; Magnoliopsida; Poales; Poaceae.
GCACGUGGUUCUCCCAUUUUAUACUUGACGUUUGCGUAGCUUGUUUUAUUGCAGGUGGUCAAUGAGACACAAUGUAGAAAAAUUGAGCAGUUCUCUUGACUGGAUGAUUCGAUUUUGACAAAGGUUGUCUAGAAUCCUCAUUUUUUUUUGAAACUGCGGCAAAAUAUUUGCCUCAUAUAUUUAUUAAGAGAGGAGUAGAAUGUUUGAU